GAAAUGCGAUAAGUAAUGUGAAUUGCAGAAUUCAGUGAAUCAUCGAAUCUUUGAACGCACAUUGCGCCCCCUGGUAUUCCGGGGGGCAUGCCUGUUCGAGCGUCAUUUCACCACUCAAGCCUCGCUUGGUAUUGGGCAACGCGGUCCGCCGCGUGCCUCAAAUCGACCGUCUGGGUCUUCUGUCCCCUAAGCGUUGUGGAAACUAUUCGCUAAAGGGUGUUCGGGAGGCUACGCCGUAAAACAACCCCAUUUCUAAGGUUGACCUCGGAUCAGGUAGGGAUACCCGCUGAACUUAAGC
This 298-nucleotide unclassified non-coding RNA is filed under the name plant metagenome. RNAcentral describes it as "partial contains 5.8S ribosomal RNA, internal transcribed spacer 2, and large subunit ribosomal RNA". The stretch from base 1 to 105 matches the Rfam family "5.8S ribosomal RNA", at positions 50 to 154 of the family's 154-position model. The record is from RNAcentral.